CUGACGAGCAGCCUGGGUUAGUUUGCCAGGGCCGCCGUCACAAAGGACCAGACUGGUGGCAUAAACAACAGAAAUUCAUUUUCUCACAGGUCUGGAGGCCAGAAGUCCUGGAUUAAGGUGC
This is a non-coding RNA of Ceratotherium simum simum (southern white rhinoceros), 121 nucleotides long. Lineage: Eukaryota; Metazoa; Chordata; Mammalia; Perissodactyla; Rhinocerotidae. The record is from RefSeq and is a predicted model, not a curated record.